CCUACGGGAGGCAGCAGUGGGGAAUAUUGGACAAUGGGCGAAAGCCUGAUCCAGCCAUGCCGCGUGUGUGAAGAAGGCCUUCGGGUUGUAAAGCACUUUCAGUGGGGAAGAAAGCCUUGGGGCUAAUACCCUCGAGGAAGGACAUCACCCACAGAAGAAGCACCGGCUAACUCCGUGCCAGCAGCCGCGGUAAUACGGAGGGUGCGAGCGUUAAUCGGAAUUACUGGGCGUAAAGCGCGCGUAGGCGGUCUGAUAAGCCGGUUGUGAAAGCCCCGGGCUCAACCUGGGAACGGCAUCCGGAACUGUCCGGCUAGAGUGCAGGAGAGGAAGGUAGAAUUCCCGGUGUAGCAGUGAAAUGCGUAGAGAUCGGGAGGAAUACCAGUGGCGAAGGCGGCCUUCUGGACUGACACUGACGCUGAGGUGCGAAAGCGUGGGUAGCAAACAGGAUUAGAUACCCUUGUAGUC
RNAcentral lists this ribosomal RNA (465 nucleotides) under Vreelandella stevensii. RNAcentral's name for it is "partial 16S ribosomal RNA". It matches the Rfam family "Bacterial small subunit ribosomal RNA", at positions 338 to 795 of the family's 1533-position model. Lineage: Bacteria; Pseudomonadati; Pseudomonadota; Gammaproteobacteria; Oceanospirillales; Halomonadaceae. The record is from RNAcentral.